Molecule: ribosomal RNA, 276 nt
Filed under: uncultured bacterium
Lineage: Bacteria
Description: partial 16S ribosomal RNA
Rfam family: Bacterial small subunit ribosomal RNA
Source: RNAcentral
GACGAACGCUGGCGGCGUGCUUAACACAUGCAAGUCGAGCGGUAAGGCCCUUUCGGGGGUACACGAGCGGCGAACGGGUGAGUAACACGUGGGUGACCUGCCCUCAGCUCUGGGAUAAGCCUGGGAAACUGGGUCUAAUACUGGAUAUGACUCCACGGUGCAUGUCGUGGGGUGGAAAGCCUUGUGCGGCUGAGGAUGGGCCCGCGGCCUAUCAGCUUGUUGGUGGGGUGAUGGCCUACCAAGGCGACGACGGGUAGCCGGCCUGAGAGGGCGACC